Rhodamnia argentea is the source of this 817-nucleotide long non-coding RNA. RefSeq lists it as uncharacterized. Lineage: Eukaryota; Viridiplantae; Streptophyta; Magnoliopsida; Myrtales; Myrtaceae. The record is from RefSeq and is a predicted model, not a curated record. The transcript is spliced from 3 exons.
AUCAGGAACAUCAUUAGCAUCCAAGGUUAUAGGCAGGCCUUGCUUUCUCUACUGCAGAAAGCCCCCGACGAUCCUAUUGUUCCUGAUCAUGCCAUUUUACGCACAACCCAGUUGCAUCAGGAAAUUAAAGGCUUGGAAGAGUUGUCUAAUAGUGGGCUGCUGCAACCUCUUCCUGCUCAAGCGGAUGCGCAGCUUGCUGACUAUGUUCAGCUUUUUCCGCCUCCUUAACUUUGCAACCAGGGAGUACCUCAGAUGUGCUGAUCAAAGCAUUUUUAUUCAGAUGGCAAGGCCUAUAGUCUGCUGUCUAGUCUGGCGGACUCGGGAGAGAUACCAUGGCCUAAGCAUGCAGAGAGCUUUAAGGCAAUAUCAUUAUGAUUCGGAAUCACAGAUACUCCGCUUGAGCAGAAGCGCCGGGGGUUGAAGUUCGAUCCCUGUUCAUUGAUCCGGCUCGUGGACAGUCGAGGAGGUUGCUCAUCCUUUCCCGCGGUGCAAGCGCCUUCGUUAACUUAAUCUCUUUGCACCCGCCGGCAAUGACAUUCAUACACCACUCGAAGCCAAUAGCUGAAAUGAGUUGGAAGAGCAUCGGUUUAAAGGAGUCCGAUUCCGUGCAAGGUUGGUGGCUUCAGCUUCUGCUACAGCUCCGCUGUACAGCUUUGCUUGAUGCUGCACAAUCCUCUGUGGUUGCUGGAAAUGUUAUCAAUAGUUUUGAAGUUACCAGCUAAUUGAAGCAUUUCGCGCGAGAAUUACCGCACGUCGCAAUGACACGUGACAUAACAUAGCAAAUCAAUCAAAGGCGAGUGAUUUCAAUAUCGAAAUG